AUGAUCAGCAGGAUCCUGAAGAGGGUCUGCGGCUUGUACCCUCAGUACAUCGGCGUUGAUGUCGAGUAUACCAGGGAAGACGAACCUCCGCAGAGGGCAGCAGUUCUACAGUUAUGUGUGGAGGAACUCUGUCUUGUAUACCACAUCACCGCGGCAACAAAAUUGCCCAAGAGCCUGCGCCCGUUCCUAAUGGAGGACAGGUUCUACACCUUUGCUGGCUUCAGUAUUGAAGGUGACAAAGAGAUGCUGCGAAGAUCUGGUUUGGAGAUCAACCCCGACAAGUACAUCGACAUCCAGCGCAAAUGGGGAAUGAAGAAUAACAUUGACAGGGUUGAAGACCAUAAACUGUGGGGGAUCAGCCCACUGCCAAAUUACCUCAUCGAGUAUGCAGCGAUAGAUGCGUACGCCACCUACGAGUCGUGGAAGAGAAUU
This 432-nucleotide ribosomal RNA is filed under the name Triticum aestivum (bread wheat). RNAcentral describes it as "partial small subunit ribosomal RNA". Lineage: Eukaryota; Viridiplantae; Streptophyta; Magnoliopsida; Poales; Poaceae. The record is from RNAcentral.